GGAACGUAUCAUGUCAAGUGUAUAUGGAUGCGCUUUAUAUCGUAUUGGAUCAUCAAAAACAUGUUUGACAAAUAUUGAAGCAUGAACAAAGUAGUCCCGAAGCAUUACCAAUCUACCAUGGUUGUGUAAAAAACAAAGCAAACAUGUAGAUACUAACAACAUGCCACAUAUGAUACCAAGCACAUCUGCAAUACUAAAUUGAAGGAAGCAUACACAUAGUAUGAAACUUAAUACAAAAAAUCUGAAGCAUUG
RNAcentral lists this long non-coding RNA (252 nucleotides) under Hordeum vulgare. RNAcentral describes it as "long non-coding RNA (HVUL_LNC019398)". Lineage: Eukaryota; Viridiplantae; Streptophyta; Magnoliopsida; Poales; Poaceae. The record is from RNAcentral.